RNAcentral lists this non-coding RNA (156 nucleotides) under pig gut metagenome. The record is from RNAcentral.
GAGAAUCUUACUUUUUCUUAAUGUUCUGUAGUGAUCAAGCAAUGUAGUGACAGGAUGUCACUACAAGCAAAAAACUGAGACAUGGAUGUCGAAUUUUUUGCGGUUGCGGGAAUAAAAGAUAAUAUGGCAGAACAUUUAGAAAUUGUUAGAUUCGAA